AUUAAAAUAUUUAAACAGUAUAGCCGCACGGCUAUACUCUUUAGAUAAAUUCGUAUAUUUAUGAAGUAUAGCUUUUCGGCUAUACUAUUUAAAAUUCGAAAG
This 102-nucleotide microRNA precursor is filed under the name Prunus dulcis (almond). RNAcentral's name for it is "sRNA ncRNA". Lineage: Eukaryota; Viridiplantae; Streptophyta; Magnoliopsida; Rosales; Rosaceae. The record is from RNAcentral.